GUUGUGGCUCAGCGGUAGAGCGCUUGCCUAGCACACGUGAGGCCCUGGGUUCGAUCUUCAGCACUACA
This 68-nucleotide transfer RNA is filed under the name Marmota monax (woodchuck). RNAcentral describes it as "tRNA.Ala". The record is from RNAcentral. Lineage: Eukaryota; Metazoa; Chordata; Mammalia; Rodentia; Sciuridae.